AAAAAAAAAUACUCCAACUGCACCUAAAAAAAGAAUCUGUAAUAUUCGGUGCUUGACACAAAAUAAAUUUGACUUUUAGAGUCUAAAUGCAGAGUUUAAAUAUUAGUUACAUGAAGGAUAAAUGAAUCUAUAUUUUGAUCCAGUACAAGUAGAUUUGUAAAUGUAAAGCUAGUCUUACACUGGCUUUACCACCUGGUAUGUACGCUAAAGUUAGUUUGUUCCCCAGUCAUAGAAAGCUAUGUAUGUGCCACUCACGGCACGACCAGCACUGUACUUUAUAUGUCUCCCAAUACUGGAUCCAAAAUUCUCUGUACACAGGACAGCAAUAGGGCUUUACACUACAUAAUCUAUACAAUGCCACCAUGUUAGAUACAAUUUGACUGUUUAAAUUCUUCAAGUGACUCAUUGAUUCUGAACAAAAUCUUAUUUGGUAAUAGCGUUGGCUCAGGUUUAUUUAUAGUCUGAGCUAUCCAGGUGGGAACAGUAUUUCAAUGGAAGAUUUAUUUUCCAAAGGUAGCUUUUAUUCUCCAUAAACUUCAGAGCAUCAGAGCUCCUGUUUGAAUUAAGGACUGUUUAAACCGGACGAACAAUGCAACUUCUAAACAAAUAUUUUAUGUGCAUGUCUACAUGUUCUUCUGCGCUGUUCUUGCAUGUUUCAUGCAUUUUUUUGCCGUGUGUUUUUUAACUGGAUAAUGUUUCCAUUUCUUUCUUCUUUGUGUUUGAAAGAUUGUAAAGGUGAUCAUUAAAAUUCCUUGUGACACUAUUGUGCGAAUAAAGACCGGAAAAGCCCUUAUACUUUCUCUCUCCCUCCUUAGAGGGUUUCGAUCGCUUGGACCUAAUGUUGUGCAGUUUUUAACUGAAUUUCUCUGUAACUGAAAGAAGGAAUCCCUUUUGUAUUGGCACGUUUGUGAUUUUGUUUGUGAUUUUGGACACCAGAAUUUGUGUUUUGUUGUCUUUUUCUGAAUGUACUGUUUUCCAAUGCAAAUUGUUGAAUUUUUAAAACAGA
Pelobates cultripes (western spadefoot toad) is the source of this 1006-nucleotide non-coding RNA. The record is from the annotation of a GenBank genome assembly. NCBI's taxonomy places the organism in Eukaryota, Metazoa, Chordata, Amphibia, Anura, Pelobatidae.